This 497-nucleotide ribosomal RNA is filed under the name uncultured bacterium. RNAcentral describes it as "partial 16S ribosomal RNA". It matches the Rfam family "Bacterial small subunit ribosomal RNA", at positions 28 to 507 of the family's 1533-position model. The record is from RNAcentral.
GAUGAACGCUGGCGGCGUGCCUAAUACAUGCAAGUCGAGCGAACGGACGAGAAGCUUGCUUCUCUGAUGUUAGCGGCGGACGGGUGAGUAACACGUGGAUAACCUACCUAUAAGACUGGGAUAACUUCGGGAAACCGUAGCUAAUACCGGAUAAUAUUUUGAACCGCAUGGUUCAAAAGUGAAAGACGGUCUUGCUGUCACUUAUAGAUGGAUCCGCGCUGCAUUAGCUAGUUGGUAAGGUAACGGCUUACCAAUGCAACGAUGCAUAGCCGACCUGAGAGGGUGAUCGGCCACACUGGAACUGAGACACGGUCCAGACUCCUACGGGAGGCAGCAGUAGGGAAUCUUCCGCAAUGGGCGAAAGCCUGACGGAGCAACGCCGCGUGAGUGAUGAAGGUCUUCGGAUCGUAAAACUCUGUUAUUAGGGAAGAACAUAUGUGUAAGUAACUGUGCACAUCUUGACGGUACCUAAUCAGAAAGCCACGGCUAACUACGUG